GGGCCUAUAGCUCAGCUGGUAGAGCAUCGGACUUUUAAUCCGCUGGUCGCGGGUUCGAACCCCGCUGGGCCCACCA
The sequence is a transfer RNA, 76 nucleotides long. It matches the Rfam family "tRNA". Rfam says of the family: Transfer RNA (tRNA) molecules are approximately 80 nucleotides in length.